CUACGUUAGCUGCGCCACUGAAAAACAUUGUUUCCCAACAGCUAGUUGACAUCGUUUACGGCGUGGACUACCAGGGUAUCUAAUCCUGUUCGCUACCCACGCUUUCGCACCUUAGUGUCAGUACAGAUCCAGGAGGCUGCCUUCGCCAUUGGUAUUCUUCACAAUAUCUACGCAUUCCACCGCUACACUGUGAAUUCUACCUCCCUCUAUCGUACUCUAGUGAAUCAGUUUUGGAUGCAGUUCCCAGGUUGAGCCCGGGGAUUUCACAUCCAACUUAAUAAACCACCUACGCGCGCUUUACGCCCAGUAAUUCCGAUUAACGCUUGGACCUUCCGUAUUACCGCGGCUGCUGGCACGGAAUUAGCCGGUCCUUAUUCUGAAGGUAAUGUCACGGUUAUUGGGUAUUAACCAAUAACUUUUCUUCCCAACUUAAAGUGCUUUACAACCCUAGGGCCUUC
Molecule: ribosomal RNA, 458 nt
Filed under: uncultured Gammaproteobacteria bacterium
Lineage: Bacteria; Pseudomonadati; Pseudomonadota; Gammaproteobacteria
Description: partial 16S ribosomal RNA
Source: RNAcentral